AGUGAACGCUGGCGGUAGGCCUAACACAUGCAAGUCGAACGGCAGCACAGUAAGAGCUUGCUCUUACGGGUGGCGAGUGGCGGACGGGUGAGGAAUACAUCGGAAUCUACUUUUUCGUGGGGGAUAACGUAGGGAAACUUACGCUAAUACCGCAUACGACCUACGGGUGAAAGCAGGGGAUCUUCGGACCUUGCGCGAUUGAAUGAGCCGAUGUCGGAUUAGCUAGUUGGCGGGGUAAAGGCCCACCAAGGCGACGAUCCGUAGCUGGUCUGAGAGGAUGAAAAGCAAAAGUGGAACGGAGACCGGGUCCAGACUACUAGGGGAGGCAGCAGGGGGGAAUAUUGGACAAGGGGAGCAAGCUUGACCCAGCCAUACGGCGUGGGAGAAAAAGGCUUGCGGGUGGUAAAGCCUUUUUGUGGGGAAAAAAAAGCAGCAGGUUAAUACCCCGCUGUUCUGACGGUACCAAAAAAAUAAGCACCGGCUAACUUCGUG
This 492-nucleotide ribosomal RNA is filed under the name uncultured bacterium. Its description in RNAcentral is "partial 16S ribosomal RNA". It matches the Rfam family "Bacterial small subunit ribosomal RNA", at positions 29 to 507 of the family's 1533-position model. The record is from RNAcentral.